RNAcentral lists this ribosomal RNA (464 nucleotides) under Vreelandella stevensii. RNAcentral's name for it is "partial 16S ribosomal RNA". It matches the Rfam family "Bacterial small subunit ribosomal RNA", at positions 339 to 795 of the family's 1533-position model. Lineage: Bacteria; Pseudomonadati; Pseudomonadota; Gammaproteobacteria; Oceanospirillales; Halomonadaceae. The record is from RNAcentral.
CUACGGGUGGCUGCAGUGGGGAAUAUUGGACAAUGGGCGAAAGCCUGAUCCAGCCAUGCCGCGUGUGUGAAGAAGGCCUUCGGGUUGUAAAGCACUUUCAGUGGGGAAGAAAGCCUUGGGGCUAAUACCCUCGAGGAAGGACAUCACCCACAGAAGAAGCACCGGCUAACUCCGUGCCAGCAGCCGCGGUAAUACGGAGGGUGCGAGCGUUAAUCGGAAUUACUGGGCGUAAAGCGCGCGUAGGCGGUCUGAUAAGCCGGUUGUGAAAGCCCCGGGCUCAACCUGGGAACGGCAUCCGGAACUGUCAGGCUAGAGUGCAGGAGAGGAAGGUAGAAUUCCCGGUGUAGCGGUGAAAUGCGUAGAGAGCGGGAGGAAUACCAGUGGCGAAGGCGGCCUUCUGGACUGACACUGACGCUGAGGUGCGAAAGCGUGGGUAGCAAACAGGAUUAGAUACCCGGGUAGUC